GACGAACGCUGGCGGCGUGCUUAACACAUGCAAGUCGAACGGAAAGGCCCUGCUUUUGUGGGGUGCUCGAGUGGCGAACGGGUGAGUAACACGUGAGUAACCUGCCCUUGACUUUGGGAUAACUUCAGGAAACUGGGGCUAAUACCGGAUAGGAGCUCCUGCUGCAUGGUGGGGGUUGGAAAGUUUCGGCGGUUGGGGAUGGACUCGCGGCUUAUCAGCUUGUUGGUGGGGUAGUGGCUUACCAAGGCUUUGACGGGUAGCCGGCCUGAGAGGGUGACCGGCCACAUUGGGACUGAGAGACGGCCCAGACUCCUACGGGAGGCAGCAGUGGGGAGUAUUGCACAAUGGGCGGAAGCCUGAUGCAGCAGCGCCGCGUGCGUGAUGACGGCCUUCGGGUUGUAAACCGCUUUCGCCUGUGACGAAGCGUGAGUGACGGUAAUGGGUAAAGAAGCACCGGCUAACUACGUG
This 468-nucleotide ribosomal RNA is filed under the name uncultured bacterium. Its description in RNAcentral is "partial 16S ribosomal RNA". It matches the Rfam family "Bacterial small subunit ribosomal RNA", at positions 28 to 507 of the family's 1533-position model. The record is from RNAcentral.